AGAGUUUGAUCCUGGCUCAGGAUGAACGCUAGCGGGAGGCCUAACACAUGCAAGUCGAGCGGGAUUUCCCUUCGGGGAUUGAGAGCGGCGCACGGGUGAGUAACGCGUAUGCAACCUGCCUUUUACAGGGGAAUAGCCCGGAGAAAUCCGGAUUAAUGCCCCAUGGUACCUGGAAACCGCAUGGUUUUCCGGUUAAAGCUCCGGCGGUAAAAGAUGGGCAUGCGUGACAUUAGCUAGUUGGCGGGGUAACGGCCCACCAAGGCUACGAUGUCUAGGGGUUCUGAGAGGAUGAUCCCCCACACUGGUACUGAGACACGGACCAGACUCCUACGGGAGGCAGCAGUGAGGAAUAUUGGUCAAUGGGCGCAAGCCUGAACCAGCCAUCCCGCGUGAAGGACGACGGUCCUAUGGAUUGUAAACUUCUUUUGUACGGGAAGCACGUGCGCUAUGUAUAGCGUAUUGACGGUACCGUACGAAUAAGCAUCGGCUAACUCCGUGCCAGCAGCCGCGGUAAUACGGAGGAUGCGAGCGUUAUCCGGAUUCAUUGGGUUUAAAGGGUGCGUAGGCGGCCCGGUAAGUCAGCGGUGAAAGUUUGCGGCUCAACCGUAAAAUUGCCGUUGAUACUGUCGGGCUUGAGUUCAGAUGAAGUGGGCGGAAUGAGUAGUGUAGCGGUGAAAUGCUUAGAUAUUACUCAGAACACCGAUUGCGAAGGCAGCCCACUAAACUGCGACUGACGCUGAUGCACGAAAGCGUGGGGAUCGAACAGGAUUAGAUACCCUGGUAGUCCACGCCGUAAACGAUGUUCACUCGCUGUUUGCGAUAUAUUGCAAGCGGCCAAGCGAAAGCAUUAAGUGAACCACCUGGGGAGUACGAUCGCAAGGUUGAAACUCAAAGGAAUUGACGGGGGCCCGCACAAGCGGAGGAACAUGUGGUUUAAUUCGAUGAUACGCGAGGAACCUUACCCGGGCUUAAAUGUAGGCUGCAUGAGGUGGAAACACCCUUCCCUUCGGGGCUGCCUACAAGGUGCUGCAUGGUUGUCGUCAGCUCGUGCCGUGAGGUGUCGGGUUAAGUCCCAUAACGAGCGCAACCCCUAUCGUUAGUUGCCAUCGGGUGAAGCCGGGAACUCUAGCGAGACUGCCACCGUAAGGUGAGAGGAAGGUGGGGAUGACGUCAAAUCAGCACGGCCCUUAUGUCCGGGGCUACACACGUGUUACAAUGGACGGUACAGAGGGCCGCUACCCCGCGAGGGGAUGCCAAUCUCGAAAGCCGUUCUCAGUUCGGAUCGCAGUCUGAAACCCGACUGCGUGAAGUUGGAUUCGCUAGUAAUCGCGCAUCAGCCAUGGCGCGGUGAAUACGUUCCCGGGCCUUGUACUCACCGCCCGUCA
This 1385-nucleotide ribosomal RNA is filed under the name uncultured bacterium. RNAcentral's name for it is "bacterial SSU rRNA". It matches the Rfam family "Bacterial small subunit ribosomal RNA". The record is from RNAcentral.